CGGGGACCCGCACAAGUAGUGGAGCAUGUGGUUUAAUUUGAAGAUACGCGCAGAACCUUACCAACACUUGACAUGUUCGUCGCGACUCUAAGAGAUUAGAGUUUUCGGUUCGGCCGGACGAAACACAGGUGCUGCAUGGCUGUCGUCAGCUCGUGUCGUGAGAUGUUGGGUUAAGUCCCGCAACGAGCGCAACCCUCACUUUUAGUUGCCAUCAUUAAGUUGGGCACUCUGAAAGAACUGCCAGUGAUAAGCUGGAGGAAGGUGGGGAUGACGUCAAGUCCUCAUGGCCCUUACGUGUUGGGCUACACACGUGCUACAAUGGUAUCUACAACAGGAAGCAAAACGGCAACGUUUAGCAAAUCCCGAAAAGAUACCUCAGUUCGGAUUGCACUCUGCAACUCGAGUGCAUGAAGCUGGAAUUACUAGUAAUCGUGGAUCAGCGUGCCACGGUGAAUGCGUUCCCGGGUCUUGUACACACCGCCCGUCACACCAUGGGAGUUGGUUCUACCUUAAGGCAAGGUUUUAAACCCUUGACCACGGUAUAGUCAGCGACUGGGGUG
Molecule: ribosomal RNA, 560 nt
Filed under: uncultured bacterium
Lineage: Bacteria
Description: bacterial SSU rRNA
Rfam family: Bacterial small subunit ribosomal RNA
Source: RNAcentral